GGGGUGGUAGCUCAGGGGGAGAGCAACCGGCUGAAGACCGGUGUGUCGUGGGUUCAAAUCCCACCCACCCCA
RNAcentral lists this transfer RNA (72 nucleotides) under marine sediment metagenome. It matches the Rfam family "tRNA". From Rfam's summary of the family: Transfer RNA (tRNA) molecules are approximately 80 nucleotides in length. Their secondary structure includes four short double-helical elements and three loops (D, anti-codon, and T loops). Further hydrogen bonds mediate the characteristic L-shaped molecular structure. tRNAs have two regions of fundamental functional importance: the anti-codon, which is responsible for specific mRNA codon recognition, and the 3' end, to which the tRNAs corresponding amino acid is attached (by aminoacyl-tRNA synthetases). tRNAs cope with the degeneracy of the genetic code in two manners: having more than one tRNA (with a specific anti-codon) for a particular amino acid; and 'wobble' base-pairing, i.e. permitting non-standard base-pairing at the 3rd anti-codon position. The record is from RNAcentral.